GAUGAAGAACGUAGUGAAAUGCGAUAAGUAGUGUGAAUUGCAGAAUUCAGUGAAUCAUCGAAUCUUUGAACGCACAUUGCGCCCCUUGGUAUUCCAUGGGGCAUGCCUGUUCGAGCGGCAUUUGUACCUUCAAGCUUUGCUUGGUGUUGGGUGUUUGUCUCGCCUUUGCGUGUAGACUCGCCUUAAAAUAAUUGGCAGCCGGCGUAUUGAUUUCGGAGCGCAGUACAUCUCGCGCUUUGCACUCAUAACGACAGCGUCCAAAAGUACAUUUUACACUCUUGACCUCGGAUCAGGUAGGGAUACCCGCUGAACUUAAGCAUAUCAAUAAGCGGAGGA
Molecule: unclassified non-coding RNA, 336 nt
Filed under: soil metagenome
Description: partial contains 5.8S ribosomal RNA, internal transcribed spacer 2, and large subunit ribosomal RNA
Rfam family: 5.8S ribosomal RNA (bases 1-120)
Source: RNAcentral